AGCACAUACAAAGGUUGUACGAAUGGUGUACAAUUGGUCUAUAAAGGGUGUACAAAUGGUGUACAAAGGGUGUAAAAAGGUUGUACAAAGGGUGUACGAAGAGUGUACAAAGGGUAUACAAAGAGUAUAGAAAAGAUGUACGAAGGGUGUAAAAAAAUGUAGAAAGAUGUAGGAAGGGUGUAGAAAAGGUAUACAAAUAGUGUACAAAGAGUGUAUAAAGGGUGCAUAAAGAGUGCACAAAGAGUGUACAAAGGGUCUUCAACGUGUGUACAAAGGGUGUAUAGAAGGGUAUAAAGGGUGUACAUAAGGUGUUCAAAGAAUGUACUAAGGGUGUACAAAGACUGCAUAAUAGGUGUAGAAAGGGUGUAUAAAGGUGAAUAAAGGGUGUAUAAAGCAUGGACAAAGGGUGCACAAAGGGUGUACAUAAGGUGUUCCAAAAUUUAGAUAGAUAUAAAAAGCGUGUACAAUGAGUGUAUAAAUGGUGUAGAAAUGGUGUAGAAAGGGUGUAUAAA
Molecule: long non-coding RNA, 512 nt
Filed under: Vigna radiata
Lineage: Eukaryota; Viridiplantae; Streptophyta; Magnoliopsida; Fabales; Fabaceae
Description: long non-coding RNA (VRAD_LNC017885)
Source: RNAcentral